CAGUAGCCACGGUAAGACAGAGGAUGCAAGCGUUAUCCGGAAUGAUUGGGCGUAAAGCGCGCGCAGGUGGUUUAAUAAGUCUGAUGUGAAAGCCCACGGCUCAACCGUGGAGGGUCAUUGGAAACUGUUAAACUUGAGUGCAGGAGAGAAAAGUGGAAUUCCUAGUGUAGCGGUGAAAUGCGUAGAGAUUAGGAGGAACACCAGUGGCGAAGGCGGCUUUUUGGCCUGUAACUGACACUGAGGCGCGAAAGCGUGGGGAGCAAACAGGAUUAGAUACCCCCGUAGUCCCUGUCUCUUAUAC
Molecule: ribosomal RNA, 301 nt
Filed under: uncultured bacterium
Lineage: Bacteria
Description: partial 16S ribosomal RNA
Rfam family: Bacterial small subunit ribosomal RNA
Source: RNAcentral